GACGAACGCUGGCGGCGUGCUUAACACAUGCAAGUCGAACGGAAAGGCCCUGCUUUUGUGGGGUGCUCGAGUGGCGAACGGGUGAGUAACACGUGAGUAACCUGCCCUUGACUUUGGGAUAACUUCAGGAAACUGGGGCUAAUACCGGAUAGGAGCUCCUGCUGCAUGGUGGGGGUUGGAAAGUUUCGGCGGUUGGGGAUGGACUCGCGGCUUAUCAGCUUGUUGGUGGGGUAGUGGCUUACCAAGGCUUUGACGGGUAGCCGGCCUGAGAGGGUGACCGGCCACAUGGGGACUGGGAUACGGCCCAGACGCCUACGGGAGGCAGCAGUGGGGAUUAUUGCACAAUGGGCGGAGGCCUGAUGCAGCAACGCCGCGUGCGGGAUGACGGCCUUCGGGUUGUAAACCGCUUUCGCCUGUGACGAAGCGUGAGUGACGGUAAUGGGUAAAGAAGCACCGGCUAACUACGU
RNAcentral lists this ribosomal RNA (467 nucleotides) under uncultured bacterium. Its description in RNAcentral is "partial 16S ribosomal RNA". It matches the Rfam family "Bacterial small subunit ribosomal RNA", at positions 28 to 506 of the family's 1533-position model. The record is from RNAcentral.